Molecule: ribosomal RNA, 782 nt
Filed under: Salmonella enterica subsp. enterica
Lineage: Bacteria; Pseudomonadati; Pseudomonadota; Gammaproteobacteria; Enterobacterales; Enterobacteriaceae
Description: bacterial LSU rRNA
Rfam family: Bacterial large subunit ribosomal RNA
Source: RNAcentral
GGGUUGUGAGGUUAAGCGACUAAGCGUACACGGUGGAUGCCCUGGCAGUCAGAGGCGAUGAAGGGCGUGCUAAUCUGCGAUAAGCGCCGGUAAGGUGAUAUGAACCGUUAUAACCGGCGAUUUCCGAAUGGGGAAACCCAGUGUGACUCGUCACACUAUCAUUAACUGAAUCCAUAGGUUAAUGAGGCGAACCGGGGGAACUGAAACAUCUAAGUACCCCGAGGAAAAGAAAUCAACCGAGAUUCCCCCAGUAGCGGCGAGCGAACGGGGAGGAGCCCAGAGCCUGAAUCAGCAUGUGUGUUAGUGGAAGCGUCUGGAAAGGCGCGCGAUACAGGGUGACAGCCCCGUACACAAAAGCGCAUGUGCUGUGAGCUCGAUGAGUAGGGCGGGACACGUGGUAUCCUGUCUGAAUAUGGGGGGACCAUCCUCCAAGGCUAAAUACUCCUGACUGACCGAUAGUGAACCAGUACCGUGAGGGAAAGGCGAAAAGAACCCCGGCGAGGGGAGUGAAAAAGAACCUGAAACCGUGUACGUACAAGCAGUGGGAGCACCCUUUGGGGUGUGACUGCGUACCUUUUGUAUAAUGGGUCAGCGACUUAUAUUCUGUAGCAAGGUUAACCGAAUAGGGGAGCCGGAGGGAAACCGAGUCUUAAUUGGGCGUUAAGUUGCAGGGUAUAGACCCGAAACCCGGUGAUCUAGCCAUGGGCAGGUUGAAGGUUGGGUAACACUAACUGGAGGACCGAACCGACUAAUGUUGAAAAAUUAGCGGAUGACCUGUGGCU